GAGUCUCCUGAAGGAACGUUGAAGACGACGACGUUGAUAGGCCGGGUGUGUAAGCGCAGCGAUGCGUUGAGCUAAGCGGUACUAAUGAACCGUGAGGCUUAACCUUACAACGCCGAAG
This 118-nucleotide ribosomal RNA is filed under the name Salmonella enterica subsp. enterica serovar Kentucky. RNAcentral's name for it is "partial 23S ribosomal RNA". The stretch from base 1 to 106 matches the Rfam family "Bacterial large subunit ribosomal RNA", at positions 2820 to 2925 of the family's 2925-position model. The record is from RNAcentral. Lineage: Bacteria; Pseudomonadati; Pseudomonadota; Gammaproteobacteria; Enterobacterales; Enterobacteriaceae.